This is a long non-coding RNA of Gavialis gangeticus (Gharial), 891 nucleotides long. RefSeq lists it as uncharacterized. NCBI's taxonomy places the organism in Eukaryota, Metazoa, Chordata, Crocodylia, Gavialidae. The transcript has 3 exons. The record is from RefSeq and is a predicted model, not a curated record.
UGGACUUUGUCUUAGCUGGCUCAGUUGGGAAUACAGUUGAGGCUUCCUGACUCCCAGCAACCCCCAUCAUUUUUUCCUAGAUGAAACAGAAUACUUCUGAUCUUUGGUUAGUAAGCAACUAGCCAUAGGAGUCGCAUAAUACUGAACAGACCAAACCAAAUAAAUUAAGGCUGCUAAAGUGAACUGGACAGCUGACCUGUUAUAAUGCCUACUCAAAGAGCCAUGUUUUGCAAGUUAUCAAACUAUCUAGUAGAAUUUUAGACCCCCACAUGCAAUCCCAGAUAUAUGCAACAGUUCUGCCACUAUUCUAACAUCUAAGAGUAACCAUAAUUUCCCCUGUUUUUGUCUUUUUUAAUUAAAAAAAAAAGUCCUUCACGGUGAAAAUGACCUACAUCAUAAACUAUUUUGUAGAUGUGUAGGUGUCUUGGCUGAAUUCCAGCAUGGAUAAUUACAUUCUGCUUACUCCUUGCAGCUCUAAUGAAAUAGAGCGCUCUUCACAACUUGUCCUCAAACACUGUAGAAGUGCUGUAGGCUGUAAUACAGUGAAAAAUACCUUCUCUUAUUGAAAUUGCAAGGGAAAUUUAAGCAGACAAAAAGCAAUUACCAGCACUGGAAUUUGGGCAGGACACCAAAGUUAACUCCCCUACUCUUAUAUUAAUAUCAAGGGACAUUUUGUAGGUAUAAGUGGCCAGACCCUUGUUGGAUAGUCCACAUGGGAUCAGAGCAAGAGGCUGUGUGACUACAACUUUGAAUUCCUGAAUAUUUUUGCACCUGGAAAACGGUUGUAGACAAAUGGGUGAAUAUGUGAAAGGCUGUAAUGUUGUAAGCCAAGGAGACUGUUACAAAUGUUUUGCUUUGUUGUUGUUGUUAUUUAAAGGAAUUUAUUAAAUU